This 85-nucleotide transfer RNA is filed under the name Felis catus (domestic cat). It matches the Rfam family "tRNA". From Rfam's summary of the family: Transfer RNA (tRNA) molecules are approximately 80 nucleotides in length. Their secondary structure includes four short double-helical elements and three loops (D, anti-codon, and T loops). Further hydrogen bonds mediate the characteristic L-shaped molecular structure. tRNAs have two regions of fundamental functional importance: the anti-codon, which is responsible for specific mRNA codon recognition, and the 3' end, to which the tRNAs corresponding amino acid is attached (by aminoacyl-tRNA synthetases). tRNAs cope with the degeneracy of the genetic code in two manners: having more than one tRNA (with a specific anti-codon) for a particular amino acid; and 'wobble' base-pairing, i.e. permitting non-standard base-pairing at the 3rd anti-codon position. Lineage: Eukaryota; Metazoa; Chordata; Mammalia; Carnivora; Felidae. The record is from Rfam by way of RNAcentral. RNAcentral also lists the same sequence under 3 other names.
GCCUGGGUGGCUCAGUCGGUUGAGCGUCUGACUUCGGCUCAGGUCAUGAUCUCACGGUCCGUGAGUUCGAGCCCCAUGUUGGGCU